This 88-nucleotide transfer RNA is filed under the name Planctomycetota bacterium. RNAcentral's name for it is "Planctomycetes bacterium (activated sludge metagenome) tRNA-Ser". It matches the Rfam family "tRNA". Rfam says of the family: Transfer RNA (tRNA) molecules are approximately 80 nucleotides in length. Their secondary structure includes four short double-helical elements and three loops (D, anti-codon, and T loops). The record is from RNAcentral. Lineage: Bacteria; Pseudomonadati; Planctomycetota.
GGAGAGGUGACGGAGCGGCCGAACGUGCCGGUUUCGAAAACCGGUGUACCUCACGGUACCGGGGGUUCGAAUCCCCCCCUCUCCGCCA